RNAcentral lists this long non-coding RNA (9261 nucleotides) under Gossypium barbadense (sea-island cotton). RNAcentral describes it as "long non-coding RNA (GBAR_LNC011901)". Lineage: Eukaryota; Viridiplantae; Streptophyta; Magnoliopsida; Malvales; Malvaceae. The record is from RNAcentral.
UUCUCGUUGAAAACAAGCAAAGGAGAGUUUUCAGAGAUACUUACCGGCGGUUUCGAUCUUCGGAGACCAUUUUCCGACUUGGAUAUCGAACCAAAGGAAGUGUCCUCUCGUUUACCCGUAACUCGGGUCAAGUACCAUGGCGGAGGUGGAGGCGUUAACGCCGAUGAAACCCAGGAUCGGUGUUUGCACGAUGACAUUAGAGUUCGGCCGAAUGAGAGGGGAAAUGGGCUUUAGGAUCUGUUGUUUCCUUUUCAAAUGGCCAAGUGAUCUUUUUUAGGGUUUCUUUUCCUUAUAUACAACAUAAAAUGGCGCCGUUUGGAUGGGUAAGGGUCCGCGCGUUGACCCGAUGGGCAGGCCAGAUCCGCGCCCUUUUGUUCUGAAUGGGAAAUUUGCGCCAUAGGUCCUCCCCUUUUGCGAGUGCAUUCAAUCGAACCUUUUUUUUUCUUUUUUUAAAUUAGCUCUUUAAUUUGCAUGUAUUUUAUACAUGUACAUACGUCUUUUAAAUCUGUUUUGUGCGUUAUGUCUCGUCUUGUACCCUUUUUAUUCUUUUGCACAUAUAUUAUUUAAAUUAUUAUGUACUGUGUCAACUUUUAAAUGAAUUUGUGUCUAAAAUAUUUUACAUGCAAUUUGAUUCAAAUUUUUAUUCUAUAAUAAUAUCUAUUCUUAAAAUCAUAUAGCUAUCCCUAGUUUUCAUGCAAAUUUGUCAACCUAUAUAUAUGGGUCCAUUUAUCCGUUAUUAUUUUAAAACCGUUUUAUAGCACAUUGGCUUCUAAUUGCUAUGUUGUUUUUAUAUCUUGCAUUGGUUAUUCUAUAUCAUGCUAUGUACAUUAUCGUGGCAUAUUAUUGUAUGUAUUGUUUUGCUUGUGUGAUUGUUAUCAUUUUCGUCAUUGUAUUAUUAUAUCAAUUAUUCACCAUGCAUUAUUGUAAUCGGGUUGCAUUUUUUAGGUUAGCUAUAUUUAAUUAUUAGUUUGUUAGUUGAUCGUAUCUCAUACAUGUCUAUUACCCCAUUCAUCGUUUUUUACUUGACUUUUGAAAUGUGGUUUUAUAAAACCCAAAUUUUAUGGUUAAUUUCGUCUUAUUUCAAAUCGAAUUAAUGCGUUUUAAGCUAGUUUCACAAUUAUUAAAAAUCCCUUAAACGAAGGCAAUAUGCGAUAUUUGGUAAUUCGCGGAAUCGUGCCCUAACGUGUUGGGUUGCAAUUUCCCGUUUGCUUAAAAUAAUCAAAUAUCCCUUCAAGAUUUCAUUCAUGUCUUCUAAAAAUCCUUUAAAACGAAGGCAAUACUCGGUGUUUGAUAAUUCGAGAAUCAUGCCCUAUCGUGCUGGGUUGUGAUUUCUCGUUUGUUCAAAACAAUUGAAUAUUCCUUUAGGUUUUCACUCGUGUUUAUUAAAAACCUUCCAAAACGAAGACAAUACUCGGUGUUUGAUAAUUCGGGAAUCGUGCCCUAAUGUGUUGGGUUGUGAUUUCUCGUUUGUUCAAAACAAUCGAAUAUUCCUUUAGGUUUUCACUCGUGUUUAUUAAAAACCUUCCAAAACAAAAACAAUACUCGGUGUUUGAUAAUUCGGGAAUCGUGCCCUAAUGUGUUGGGUUGUGAUUUCUUGUUUUUUUCAAAACAAUCGAAGAUUCCUUCGAAAUUUCACUCAAGUUUUCUAAAAACCCUUUAAAACGAAAGAAAUGUUCGAUGUUUGGCAAUUCGGUGAAUAGUGCCCUAUCGUGCUGGGUUGCAAUUUCCCGUUUGUUCAAAAUAAUCGAAUAUAACUUCAGAAUUUCACUCGCAUUUUCUAAGGCAAGGCAAUGUUCAAUGUUUGGAAAUUCGAAGAAUCGUGCCCUACUGUGCUGGGUUUCGAUUUUUCUUUGGACCAAAUAGUUGGGCAUCCUUUUGUAAUUUUCAAUUUUCGGACAUCAAAACAAUAAGAUUUUUGGCAACCAACUUGGGUUAUUCAAAUGUUAUUAACAAGAACCACAUUUCAAAAACAUUUUUAAUUUUAGAUAAAAGGACAGUAUUUAAUCAGUUUGGUACCAAUUUUGGGCGUAAUGAGAGUGCUAAUCCUUCCUCAUGCGUAACUGACUCCCGAGCCCAUUUUCUCAUAUUUUCGUAGACUAGAAUCGUUGUUUUAGUAAACCAAAAAUGUUCUAUUAAAAUAACCAAAUUCUUAGGUGACCCGAUCACACCAAAACCAAAGGAUCGGUGGCGACUCCACGUUUUAUUUUCAAAAAGUCGAUUCCCCCGUAUUUUCAUUAUAUUUAAAAUUUUAAAAACGUUUGAAAAAGGGUGGUUUCGACAGCUUGGCGACUUCGCUGGGGAACCUAAGAGAGUCUGGCCAUAAAAUUGAUUAUUUAUUGUCCUCUUGUCAAAGAAAUUGAAAAUUUGUUUUAUAAUGAUUGCAUUUGAUUGUAUGAUCAUUUUGGUACGGAUCUUGUAGAAUAAUGUUGCAUUGCAUUGCAUGACCACUGUGGUCAUACCUUCUAAGUGGGAGUAAGAAGCUACGCCUUUGUGAGGUUCUCACCUCCGCAUGGGCUAGUGGAUUGCUUCCGGUGUACAUCUAUACCUAUGAUUUCGUGAGAUUUUCAUCUCCGCAUGGUCAUAGGGAAAUGUAUCCCCCUGAACCGAACUUGAUCCAUAUGAGCCUAUAAUGGGUGGGGAUUGAGGAAUUUGCUGGUUCGGGUACCCUUACUCUAGAACCGAGCCACAUAUAGAGAGACCUAGGAGCUUACCCUAGGUAGAGCCACUCCGAACCUCUAGUGAUCACCUGAUUAGGUACUUUGUUGGUUGUUUAUUUCUAGACUAACGUGUUUUGUUUUUGUUUGUUCAUGACUAUAUUGCAUUAUAUCAUUAUAGAAAUGAGGUGUUGAUUCAUAUUCAAUUGCUAAAUAGAAUAAUUUGUCAUAAGAAAACGAAUUUCUUAAUAACGUGGAUUACAAUACGGUUGUCCGAAUUUGGUCUAAGUGAACACGACAGAAGAGGGCUAACAGUUCGUAGAGGAAAACAAAACUUUACCUAAGGAUUCAAGCUAAUAUAGAUUAUCCAAAAGCCGUCGCGUCCUGACUUUCUUAAAGGAGCUAAUCAACAUUGCGAGGAUAGUAAUUCGUGGCCUGGAUCAAACCAAAAGGAGCUAGUAGAGGCAUGCAUUGGAAGCUUGCGAGAUUUGACUUUCACGAAGAAAGGGGAUUAGUGCCUUCGCCUGGAAUACGAAAGCAAGGCCGUAUACGUAAUCCGUUUUAUGAAAAAGAAUUGGUUUUAUAGAAAAGUUGUUCUAGGGGAAUUGAAUUCAAAAUCAACAUCUUUCUUUCCUUUGUAUUUAUCCCAUGCAUUUGCAUUGCAUUGCAUCAUGUGCAUUGCAUUGCAUCAUUUGCAUUAGAUUUUCCCAAAAUGACCCUAAUUAGGUAAAAUUAUUUCAGAACAGACAAAAGAUAUGGACCAAAGGUUAGAGAGAAUGGAGCAAAGGCAAAUACAGAUGUAAGAGCAAUUGAUCAGAAUUCAACAAGAUAUGCGAUAAAUGCUAGGACUCCAAAGAAAUAUGAUGGGCCAGUUAACUUAGUUACUGGCCGGAGAAUUUGAAAAAAGGAGUGGCCAGUGGUCAAUAGUGAGGAUGAUAUUGAAGAGAUCAUCUAUACCCCAAGCUUUACCCCAAUAAGCAUCCCGACCCAACCAGACAUGCAAGGGGUACCCGUUGUUAGCAGACACCAACAUCAGACGGAUACAUCGGCACUGUUGAGCUUCUCGAUGGGUUCAGAUUUUAACCCGGAAGAUGAUCAAGCCAAGCCAGUUGUUCUGGAAGAAACGAAGGAAAGGGGAGAGUGGACUUUAAAGGCCCCAAAGAAGAAGGAAAAGAGAGCAAGUAGUACGAGUAGGUAUAACAAGGGUUGUUCGGAGCCGAUUAUAGCAAGCCAGCCAAUGAGGGUAACUACCAGCCAUCAGGCCUCCCCAAGGCGAGAACCCGAUCGAAGACCAAACUCAGAAAAACCCCAAUACACACCUAUUCCAAUCACGUACAGAGAGUUGUACCACGCUCUGUUCGACGCACAUGUUGUAUCCCCUUUUUACAUGAAACAUAUACAACCCCCAUACCCUAAAUGGUAUGAUGCAAGUAACCAAUGUGAAUACCAUGCGGAAAUUACGGGGCAUUCCAUCGAGAACUGUACCGCUUUUAAAAAUAUUAUCGAAAGACUCACCAAUUUGGGUAUCGUAAAAUUCGAUGGUCCCUCUGAUGCAAAAAAUCUGUUACCCAACCUAUCGGUUAAAUAGGUAAAUCUGAAUUCCAUGAUGGAUAAGGGCAUGAAAUCCAAUGGUACAUCAAGCUUAGAACUCUAGUGUAAGACCUGAUAUUGGGGAAUCUAAACAAUAAUUACGAAGGAACCUGGGAAUAGAAUUUCUUGAGCAUCUGCCCUUACGUACUUGGAAAUGUUUUGAACGAUGGAACUGUGGAAGCGAUCUCUUUUUAGGGCUAAUCUAGAGUAAUAUUCAAAACACGCUUGUUGUUUUAAGCCUAGAAGCAACAAGAAUCCUUUUGUGAAAUAGGCUUGUGUCCUAAAUCUUUGUUUCAAUAAAAUGCAUCUUUUUUGAGCAAAUAUUCUCUUAUCUCAUACUAUACGAAUAAUCGUUCUUAGAUUCAUUUGUUCUUUAAAAUUUCUUUUAAAUAUUCAUUUAUUUUUCAUUCAUGACCAUACCAUACAAAUAAUCACCCUUAGAAUUAUUUAUUCUUUGGAAUAUGCCUUCGUACCUAUAACAGGUCUCUAGACAUCAAUGACGUGAGCGACGCUGUCACUAAUUCCAAGUCUCUUUGUUGAGCAUGAUAUGUGUCUAGAGGGAUCUUAGGACCUUGAAGAUGACAGAGAUUGUGACUUAUUUCCUGAUUUGUUAAGGACGGUAGAACAAGAUGAAAAAAAAUUGAUCCUACUUUACGAAGGGUCAAUGGACAUUGUGAACAAGGGGCAAAGAUUGAAACUUGAGUCACCAUAGGGAAAAAAUGAAUUGUCUUUGAGUUACUUUAAGAAAUUCAAAUAUGUUUUCACAUGAUCAUGUCGAGAUCAUUUGAGAUAUUAAGAUCGGUGGAUGAUACAAAAUGUCUAUACAAUGCCAGAAGAACACUUGUUAAAGGUUUUAUGGUAGCCACGCUAGUCAUGAGGUUUGGGUAUUGUUAAUCCACCAUGGAAGGGGAUUGCAUUGGUUAAAGCCACAUUCAUUUCCCCACAGAUUUUCUCUAUAUGAGGCAAGGAUGUUAUCAGGCCAUUCUCAUCAAUUCAUCUUGGCAGUCAUUGAUUACUUCACGAAGGGGGUGAAGGUCGCUUCAUAUGUCAAUAUUACAAGAUCAAUAGUCAUCAAAUUUCAAAAAAAAGGGGGGGGAGGGGUUUCUGACGAGUAAUGUCAGAAAAGAUCACUUUCAAAUACAACUGCACAAUGUCAAAAGUUUGCAGUUUGUUCAAAGAUCAGACACUAUAUCACAGUGCAGAAAAGGCAUCCAAAAAGAAAAACAAAAGUUCAAAAAUAGAAAAGAAAAAAGGAAAAGCAAACAAUAGAACAAAAGUCGUAGUGAAAAAUGACUGAGUCUUGUAAAUAUUGGCAUAAAGAAGUUAUCAUUUACCCUCUAUAUUUGUCGAAUGUGAGCCUGGAACCUUCACCGGGGCAACACAUUGAUUUGUAUGACUGAAAUAGUUUUUGAAGAUGGGAUUCCUUUUCUUCGAUUCUUGGCAGGACUAAAGUUAGAUGAAUCAUAAGAAGUCCAAUCCUGAUAUGAUUAGUCAAAGGGUGUCCGUCACAGUUAGAUGAUGCAGGCAUAUGACAGGAAGAUUUAUCCUCGAGAAUUUCAUGAAGGGAGCUUGAUAUUGAAGAAGAUCUUUCCUAUACAAAAGGACUUCAAAGGAAGAAAUAUGCCAAACUAAGAAAGAGCUUAUGUAAAGAAGGCUUGUUUUGGAGGAACAUUGGUAUUGACCAAAAAGAUUUGCCCAGUUUGGGGAAGUUAAAAUACAGUUAAAGAGUAUUCUACCUAAAAGGGAGAGGCCAAGGUGAAAACCCGCAAAGGGCGCCUUGAGUUUUUUAAAAAAAAGAAAAAGAAUAAGAAGAAGAAGAAAAAGAAGAAGAAGAAGAAGAAUAAGGAGAUCGAAGUGAAAAAUAAAAAUAAAAGAGAAGGAAAAUUGAAAAAAAAAUAAAAAAUAUAUAAAUAAAUAAAUAAAUAAAAAGAAGAAGAAGAAAGAAAAGGAGAGGCCAAGGCGAAAACCCGUAAAGGGCGCUUUGAGACAAAAUGGGAUUUGAGCUGAAAACCCGAAAAGGGCGGCUCAAAUUUGGAUUAAAAUGGGGCAUACAGUGUCUUGCUACGCCUAAAUUAACAAUGAAGAAGUAUGCUACGUCUCGGGGCAUCGACAAAGUACCCCGGAUCCCCUAAACACAUAUUGAGCUUAGAAAGGUCCUCAAGAAGUUGGUACAGAGAAGCUCAAGCUGCGAUAUCUGGGGCACCUAGUUUCCACUUUGCUCAUUUUGAAUUUGUUAUCUUUGAUUACCUUAUUCUUUUCAAGAUACGUCCCAAUAAACUUCCUUCUUAUUGCAUCGUUAUCUUUAAUUAACUUAUUCAUGUUGAGUUAAUUGGCUUUUAUGGCAUUUGCAAUUUUUUAUUAAUCUAUUUAUUUCAAGCUACCCUCCUAAUAAAUUCCCUUCUUGUCCAUUGUUUUGAUCCUUUUCAAGCAUUUUGCAUUGAAAUAACGAUUAAUGGACUAAUAAUACCUUCGUAAAAGGGGUUCUGCAUAUUACUCUGGAAGCUUUUAAACAGUAUAGGAACCUGAAACAAGACCAUCAUUUAGAACUCACCAAGCCUAGGGGUUGAAAAUGUUUCUAAAUUGCGACUAUCUCUUUGAAUUUUCUGUCAAAGAUAUCAGUUGAAAGAAGAGGCAAGAUAUUUCGUCAGUGAUACAACCUCGACAAAUAAUGAGCAAUGUCAACCUAAGUGUAAAAGGGGGGUCAUUCUCGAGAAAAGAAAAAAUAGUACUCUGCAUUCAUGUAAAUAUCGAGCAUAUACAAUGGGUCAUUACACCCAGGGAAUGGUGUAACAGAUCAAAUUGAUUUAAAAUGAAAUAAAUCCUAUACCCUGAGUUGCAGUGUGUUGGAUAAGCAAAAAACUCCAUAAAGUUUGAGUGGGGCAAGCUUGUCGAGCAGAUGAGAUUGUUUUUUCGAGUUUUCUAUUAAGAAUGCCAGCUAAACAAGAUGACAUAAUAAUACGUCAACAAUAAAACCUCGGUGAACGACGAGUAAUAUCAAAUCAAGCAUUAAAAAUGACAUUUUGCAUUCAUACAAACGUCAUUCAUACACAUCUACCUAGGAGCAUUUGGCUCAUUCGAGUCAUGGCAUCCUAAUCAUUAGGCAUGAACUCAUACGCAUUAUACAGGUUAAAUCCUUCAAGGGACAAUGAAAAUUGAUGUGCCUUAAUCCCCUAAGCAGUAGGGUAACAGGCUAAAGCACAGCAGAUCUGACCUUUCUUGAAGCAGAUCCAAGCAGAUUUGACGUUUUUGUAUUGUUAGAGGGCAGAUCGAAGAUAACAGAUUUGGCGUCUCUGUAGCGGCGGAGAGCAGAUCGAAGAUAACAGAUUUGGAGUCUCUGUAGCGGCGGAGAGCAGAUCGAAGAUAACAGAUUUGGCGUCUCUGUAGCGGCGGAAAGUAGAUCGAAGAUAACAGAUUUGGCGUUUCUGUAGCGGCGGAGAACAGAUCGAAGAUAACAAAUUUGACGUCUCUGUAGCGGCGGAGAGCAGAUCGAAGAUAGUAGAUUUGGCGUCUUUGUAUUGUUAGAGGGCAGAUCGAAGAUAACAGAUUUGGCGUCUUUGUAUUGGCGGAGAGCAGAUCGAAGAUAACAGAUUUGGCGUCUCUAUAUUGGCGGAGAGCAGAUUGAAUAUAACAGAUUUGGCGUCUCUGUAUUGGCGGAGAGCAGAUCGAAGAUAGCAGAUUUGGCGUCUCUGUAUUGUCGAGGGCAGAUCGAAGAUAACAGAUUUGGCGUCUCUAAUUGGCGAAGAGCAGAUCGAAGAUAAUAGAUUUGGCGUCUAUGUAUUGGUGGAGGGCAGAUCGAAGAUAGCAGAUUUGGUGUCUCUGUAUUGGCGGAGAGUAGAUCGAAGAUAGCAGAUUUGGCAUCUCUGUAUUGUCAGAGGGCAGAUCGAAGAUAACAGAUUUGGCGUCUCUGUAUUGGUGGAGAGCAGAUCGAAGAUAACAGAUUUGGCGUCUCUGUAUUAGCGGAGGGCAAAUCGAAGAUAGCAGAUUUGGUGUCUCUGUAUUGUCGGAGGGCAGAUCAAAGAUAGCAGGUUUGGCAUCUCUGUGUUGAUAGAGAGUAGAUCGAAGAUGACAGAUUUGGCAUCUCUGUAGUGGCAAAUAGCAGAUCGAAAAUAACAGAUUGGUGUUCCCGAGUUUUCAAGAAGCAAGUUGAAGAUAACCAAUUUGACACUCUUGAAGACAUCAGAAUACUUUAGGGAAGAAGAGGAUCAAGACUUUAAGACUUAGUCAAACCGGGCAAAUUUGGUCCUUUUUAUAGACUUUGCUCCAUUCUCGUUACACGACAAUGAGCAAAGAGGGGCAGCUGUAAGGCUCCAAUUAUACCCGGGCCCGUAUGAAAAUAAAAAUAAAAUGAAAAUACAAAAAAAUAAGCCAAAAUAUAAAAUCCAAACAUUAUAACCCAAACAUUAGCCCACAAAAUACUAGGCCCGAAUGGCCCAAAAUCAUAACACCAACAGAAACCCUAGGGUUUCCCUUGCGCCGCAACAAGCCUCCAGCAGCCUCCAAGGCCUCUCCGUACCUCUGUACGCAGCACCGCAUGCCAGCUGGCCUUCUCCGUACCUACAAACAAACGAGACCGACAGCAGCAAAUAGGACAGAAAAAGAAAAUUGUAUUUUAUUUUUAUUUUUAUUUUUAUUUUGAUUUCGGCUAUAAAGCCUUUUUGAUUUUUGAUUGUAAGGGGGUUCUUUUUUACGGGCACAAAAAAACGCAUAUUGAAUACAAAAGCAACCAAUACUAGAAUGUGAUUUCCAUUCAUAGUCUGCCUAUUCCUAUUUUGCUUUUAAUAUUUCUCGUUGAAAACAAGCAAAUGAGAGUUUUCAGAGAUACUUACCAGUGGUUUCGAUCUUCGGAGACCAUUUUCUGACUUGGAUAUCGAACCAAAGGAAGUGUCCUCUCGUUUUCCCGUAACUCGGGUCAAGUACCAUGGCGGAGGUGGAGGCGUUAACGCCGAUGAAACACAGGAUCGGUGUUUGCACGAUGACAUUAGAGUUCGACCGAAUGAGAGGGGAAAGGGGCUUUAAG